CGCCCGUCAAACCAUGGGAGCUGGUAAUGCCCGAAGUCGGUUUAAUUACAAACUGCCUAAGGCAGGACUGGUGACUGGGGUUAAGUCGUAACAAGGUAUCCCUACGAGAACGUGGGGAUGGAUUACCUCCUUUCUACGGAGUACAUUAGUUAAUUUAUUUAAUCAUUGGGACUAAAAUUAACCUUUAAGCCUGUUAUUUUAAUAUUGUCAUGACUUGGUUUAAGGCUCUGAGUGAUAUAUCUAGUUUUGAGAGAACAUUCUCUCAAUUGUUCUUUGAAAACUGAAUAGUAAAUUAUUUUGAUAAUAUUUACAACGACAUCUAAACAAAUAAAUUUGUCAAUUUGUUUUGAUCAUCGAGUAAUCAUAUAUUUUAUGAUUUAUUGAAAUGUUUUAAAAUACACAUCAUUAACCAAAUAGGAACAUACUUUUAAAUAAUAAAGAGUUUGUGGUGGAUGCCUUGGGUCUGAAAGUCGAUGAAGGACGUGAUUACCUGCGAUAAGCCUCGUUGAGCCGGAUAUAUGCUAUGAAACGGGGAUUUCCGAAUGGGGAAACCUAAUUGGGGUAAUGCCUAAUUGCCAUUUUUUGAAUCCAUAGAAAAAUGAGUGAGACACCUUGCGAACUGAAACAUCUUAGUAGCAAGAGGAAAAGAAAAUAAAUUUAAUGAUUUCUUUAGUAGCGGCGAGCGAAAGAGAAAGAGCCCAAACCAUUUUAAUGGGGUUGUAGGACGAACUAUGUAGAGUUAUAAAAUUAAACGAUAGCAGAAGCUUUUGGGAAGAAGCGACAUAGAGGGUGAUAUCCCCGUAUGCGAAAUUGUUUAAUCUCUUGGUCGUAUCCUGAGUAGGGCGGGGCACGUGAAACCCUGUCUGAAUCUGCCGGGACCACCCGGUAAGGCUAAAUACUAAUCAGACACCGAUAGUGGAAUA
RNAcentral lists this small RNA (923 nucleotides) under Mycoplasmopsis meleagridis. Its description in RNAcentral is "bacterial LSU rRNA". The stretch from base 426 to 923 matches the Rfam family "Bacterial large subunit ribosomal RNA", at positions 1 to 497 of the family's 2925-position model. The record is from RNAcentral. Lineage: Bacteria; Bacillati; Mycoplasmatota; Mycoplasmoidales; Metamycoplasmataceae.